RNAcentral lists this unclassified non-coding RNA (145 nucleotides) under soil metagenome. RNAcentral describes it as "partial internal transcribed spacer 1". The record is from RNAcentral.
UAAUAAGUGUUUUAUGGCACUUUUUAAAUCCAUAUCCACCUUGUGUGCAAUGUCAGUCGAUCUUCUUUAUGGAGAUUGACCAAACAUCAACCAUAUCUUUUUAACUCUUUGUCUGAAAAAUAUUAUGAAUAAACAAUUCAAAAUA